ACACAUGCAAGUCGAACGGAGUCAAGAGGAGCUUGCUUUUCUUGACUUAGUGGCGAACGGGUGAGUAACGCGUGAGUAACCUGCCCUGGAGUGGGGGACAACAGUUGGAAACGACUGCUAAUACCGCAUAAGCCCACGGAUCCGCAUGGAUCUGCGGGAAAAGGAUUUAUUCGCUUCAGGAUGGACUCGCGUCCAAUUAGCUAGUUGGUGAGGUAACGGCCCACCAAGGCGACGAUUGGUAGCCGGACUGAGAGGUUGAACGGCCACAUUGGGACUGAGACACGGCCCAGACUCCUACGGGAGGCAGCAGUGGGGGAUAUUGCACAAUGGGGGAAACCCUGAUGCAGCGACGCCGCGUGGAGGAAGAAGGUUUUCGGAUUGUAAACUCCUGUCGUUAGGGACGAUAAUGACGGUACCUAACAAGAAAGCACCGGCUAACUACGUGCCAGCAGCCGCGGUAAAACGUAGGGUGCAAGCGUUGUCCGGAAUUACUGGGUGUAAAGGGAGCGCAGGCGGACCGGCAAGUUGGAAGUGAAAACUAUGGGCUCAACCCAUAAAUUGCUUUCAAAACUGCUGGCCUUGAGUAGUGCAGAGGUAGGUGGAAUUCCCGGUGUAGCGGUGGAAUGCGUAGAUAUCGGGAGGAACACCAGUGGCGAAGGCGACCUACUGGGCACCAACUGACGCUG
Molecule: ribosomal RNA, 686 nt
Filed under: uncultured Lachnospiraceae bacterium
Lineage: Bacteria; Bacillati; Bacillota; Clostridia; Lachnospirales; Lachnospiraceae
Description: bacterial SSU rRNA
Rfam family: Bacterial small subunit ribosomal RNA
Source: RNAcentral